AACGAACGCUGGCGGCAUGCCUAACACAUGCAAGUCGAACGAGUGCCUUCGGGUGCUAGUGGCGCACGGGUGCGUAACGCGUGGGAAUCUGCCCUUAGGUUCGGAAUAACAGUUAGAAAUGACUGCUAAUACCGGAUGAUGACGUUAAGUCCAAAGAUUUAUCGCCUGAGGAUGAGCCCGCGUAGGAUUAGCUAGUUGGUGUGGUAAGAGCGCACCAAGGCGACGAUCCUUAGCUGGUCUGAGAGGAUGAUCAGCCACACUGGGACUGAGACAGUGCCCAGACUCCGCCGGGGGGCAGCAGUGGGGAAUAUUUGACAAUGGGCGCAAGCCUGAUCCAGCAAUGCCGCGUGAGUGAUGAAGGCCUUAGGGUUGUAAGGCUCUUUUACCCGUGAUGAUAAUGACAGUAGCGGGAGAAUAAGCCCCGGCUAACUCCGUGCCAGCCGCCGCCGUAA
Molecule: ribosomal RNA, 452 nt
Filed under: uncultured bacterium
Lineage: Bacteria
Description: partial 16S ribosomal RNA
Rfam family: Bacterial small subunit ribosomal RNA
Source: RNAcentral